Molecule: long non-coding RNA, 2657 nt
Organism: Cyprinus carpio carpio
Lineage: Eukaryota; Metazoa; Chordata; Actinopteri; Cypriniformes; Cyprinidae
Source: Ensembl
ACAGGCAUAAAAUAUUAAGAUUUACAUUCCUGCGUGCCUCAAAUCCUCUUUCAUUUGAACACACAAUUCCCAGACAGCUAUAGUACUUAUAUACUUCAGAGGUGCGAAAAACAAGCUGGUGUAAAAAGUUGGAAUAAAAUGUAGCUCUUUAGAUCAAAGAACAAACAUGUUUGAGAACGCAAUUUCAGUAAUUAUGUCUUGACUGAGGAUUCAAGCAGAAAGUGUGGUGAGCCUGUUUUGACAUUCUCAUGUCAUGUGAUAUUUGAUGUCUCUACUCUAUCCAAGUGAAACCUAUGCUUCCAGAUAUGCUUUCUGUAGAAUCACAAGAUGCAUUUAAUUCUAAGGUUUUUUUUUUUUUUUGUUUUUUUUUUUCUCAUUUUCCUCUUGACAAUACCCCACAGAUUCUCUCUGGGGUUCAGGUCUGGUGAGUUUGAUGGCCAGUGUAAGGGAAACAGGUCAAUUUAGCUCAAAGGGAAUCAUUUAAGAUUUUAAAGGGAAUUUGAACAGAAUCACUGUUUCACGGCUGAUCACUGAAACGGCCAGCGAUUCACUGAACGAGCCGUUUAACAUCAAAUCUGCGCUGGAUAUUAAUAUCCAAAGUAUAGUGAAAACACUAUUAAUUAGCACAGUAACAAGAUCGGCAGUUUAAGACAUUAACUUGUGAACACAAAACACAAGAUACUUCUCUUUUCAAUAUAAAUAAGGCUUUAUUAGAUAAAUCUAAGACAUAUAAACUAAUCUAACACAUAAGCACACGCACUCACACAUUCACACAAGUUGCAGGAGGAUAGAACGUUAGGAAAGAGUGAGUUUAAGAGAAUGAAAAUGUGAAAUCCCAAGUUUACAGCAAUACGUGAAAUUGCAUAGACAUGAACAACCAUUUAAUCACUUAAUUAACCCUCGCACUGAGUUCCUCAAUGAGGUUAAAAUUAUAUUAGAUAACACCAGUACAGAUGUGAGUCUGGAGGUUACUUGCGUUGCCUGUUUAACGGGGUUCCCUUUUGUUGUCGCUGAAAAGGGGGUUUCCCGAAGUUGCUGAUUGGCUGGAAGUUCAGUACUCGUUGAAGUGACGUCUUGGGAAGCCCGUGGUUGGGCGUUGGCUGAAGAUGCGGAGUUGUGGGCUGGCUGAAGUUGAACGGGCACUCGAGGUCAGACUCGGAGACACGGCGUUACAAAACUUAACUCAGAACACGAAACUCUCAAACGGAAAAGAAAAGAAGUAAAGUUUGACGAGACUAGGUGGUGUUUCUUCUCAUCGUGGCUAAGUAGCAGCAGGCGUGCAGGCCGAAGCACGCUGGAACGGCACUCGAAGAACGCUAAAAGUGAUGACAAAGCAUGACUAAAAGCUAAACUACAAGCAAAGCUAAAAGCCGGCAUGACUGAUAGCAAAAGCUUGACAAAAGCUAAAAACUAAAAGCAAAAUUUGAUGGUGUCCUGAGUAUUUAAACUGGCCUUUUGGCCACACCUCAAAUGUUGUCUUGACCAAUUAGAUAUUGUCUUUUCUCUGGGUGUUGCAUUGUUUGUCCCACCCAUUCAUAAAUCAUAUGUUAUCUUAUCAAGCUCGUGGUCCGAAUUUUCCCGCUCUUUCAGGGUAUAAUUUGGACAUGAUUCCUAUAACAAGAAUAUGAUACAUUUGACAAAUAACUGAUGGUCAGAAACGUUUCAAGCAAGAAUAUUCGAACACACACAUACUAAACAUGAAUAUGAUCCCUUAAGCUAUUCAAGAGUUAUUUAAAAAGACAUACACAAUAAGUGAUUAGAAACAUUAAAGUCAAAUGUGUGGGUUACAUGUAUGAUAUGGAGUUGAGCAAUGGACUGAUAUCCAUUUAGAAGUCUUUUUUGAGUUCAUUUUGGUGCAUAUAUGCAUUGGAAGGCAUUCUCUGUGCCAUUCUGGGGAGUAAGGAUAUGUCCUGUGGAGACCAGAGGGGUUAACAGGUCUCCUUAGGAAUUUCAGUCUGGUUUUGCUAGGUGGGGGGAAGUCAAUCCAACGAUCUUGUUUAAUCUCAUGGCUUUACAUGGGAGGUUUAGACUGUCCAUUUCUUCGAUUACUUGCCCCAAAUUAGACAAUCUCUUCUUCGAAUUGAAAUUGUCAAUAAUUGUUCCAAUGGUGUUAAUGUUGAAAGCUGUUCUCUGAAAGAGUUGGUUGGUUAUCAGAUUGUGGUGCUGGGAGUUGAUUUACAACAUCCUGCCUUUCUGUGGAAUUCGGCUCAUGUUUCAACCAGGCUCCCGAUCGAAUCUUUAAUUUGUCUGGUUCACGCUACACCAGUCAAGCACACCAACGCCAUGGUCAUUUAACCAACUUUUGGUGCUUUUGGCAGUGUAGGCAGGUGCCAAAUCCUGCUGGAAAAUGAAAUCAGCAUCUUCAAAAAGCUGGUCAGCAGAAUGAAGCAUGAAGUGAUCUAAAAUUUCUUGGUAAACGGGUGCAGUGACUUUGGUUUUCAAAAAACACAAUGGACCAACACCAGCAGAUGACAUUGUACCCCAAAUCAUCACAGACUGUGGAAACUUAACACUGGACUUCAAGCAACUUGGGCUGAGCUUCUCCACCUUUACUUCAGACUCUAGGACCUUGGUUUCCAAAUGAAAUACAAAACUUGCUCUCAUCUGAAAAGAGGACUUUGAACCACUGGGCAACAGUCCAGUUCUUCUUCUCCUUA